RNAcentral lists this ribosomal RNA (418 nucleotides) under uncultured bacterium. RNAcentral describes it as "bacterial SSU rRNA". It matches the Rfam family "Bacterial small subunit ribosomal RNA", at positions 340 to 749 of the family's 1533-position model. The record is from RNAcentral.
UACGGAAGGCAGCAGUGGGGAAUAUUGCACAAUGGGCGCAAGCCUGAUGCAGCCAUGCCGCGUGUAUGAAGAAGGCCUUCGGGUUGUAAAGUACUUUCAGUCGUGAGGAAGGUGUUAAGGUUAAUAACCUUAGCAAUUGACGUUAGCGACAGAAGAAGCACCGGCUAACUCCGUGCCAGCAGCCGCGGUAAUACGGAGGGUGCGAGCGUUAAUCGGAAUUACUGGGCGUAAAGGGCACGCAGGCGGUUAAUUAAGUUGGAUGUGAAAUCCCCGGGCUUAACCUGGGAAUGGCAUUCAAGACUGGUUAGCUAGAGUCUUGUAGAGGGGGUAGAAUUCCAUGUGUAGCGGUGAAAUGCGUAGAGAUGUGGAGGAAUACCGGUGGCGAAGGCGGCCCCCGGGCAAAGGGACCUGACGCUCA